AGUGAACGCUGGCGGUAGGCCUAACACAUGCAAGUCGAACGGCAGCACAGUAAGAGCUUGCUCUUACGGGUGGCGAGUGGCGGACGGGUGAGGAAUACAUCGGAAUCUACUUUUUCGUGGGGGAUAACGUAGGGAAACUUACGCUAAUACCGCAUACGACCUACGGGUGAAAGCAGGGGAUCUUCGGACCUUGCGCGAUUGAAUGAGCCGAUGUCGGAUUAGCUAGUUGGCGGGGUAAAGGCCCACCAAGGCGACGAUCCGUAGCUGGUCUGAGAGGAUGAUCAGCCACACUGGAACUGAGACACGGUCCAGACUCCUACGGGAGGCAGCAGUGGGGAAUAUUGGACAAUGGGCGCAAGCCUGAUCCAGCCAUACCGCGUGGGUGAAGAAGGCCUUCGGGUUGUAAAGCCCCUUUGUUGGGAAAGAAAAGCAGCAGGUUAAUACCCCGCUGUUCUGACGGUACCCAAAGAAUAAGCACCGGCUAACCUCGUG
Molecule: ribosomal RNA, 492 nt
Filed under: uncultured bacterium
Lineage: Bacteria
Description: partial 16S ribosomal RNA
Rfam family: Bacterial small subunit ribosomal RNA
Source: RNAcentral